Canariomyces notabilis is the source of this 102-nucleotide non-coding RNA. Lineage: Eukaryota; Fungi; Ascomycota; Sordariomycetes; Sordariales; Chaetomiaceae. The record is from the annotation of a RefSeq genome assembly.
UCUUCCGUAGUAUAGUGGUCAGUAUGUGAGCUUGUCAUCAGUCGGAGCUCACAUGAGUUCGAGACAUCGCUCGAGACCCGGGUUCAAUUCCCGGCGGGAGAG